UCCUCCCUUUUUUUGUGUUCCUUAUAUUCAGUAACAGAAUGAACACCAACUCUCAUGCAUAAGCAAAGAAAAGAAUAAAUCAAUUAUGAUUUGCAGGAGUUUCGCUCUGAUAUUAUGGACAUGGUGCCAUGGCUCUCCGUAUUAACGACGAUCAUUGCAAAGAAGCUGCAAUGAAGGCACAUUAUUGGGGUAGAGUCCAUGUCCACUUCCUUCCAAGCCAGAAGGGAAACUGUAAUAUUGUCCUUUGAUCCUUGAAUUAGUUCGUGACGUAGAAAUGGACAUAAGCUCCUGCUCGUUCAACAAGGGUGGAACAUACUUGGAAGAAAGUGCUUCCAUCGAGGAAGAAGAAGCUGCCAAUUGAGCUUGAGAAGGUCCAAAGAUAGGCAUUGGUCGCCCUGCAUUUUGCCAGUCUCGCAUUUGUGAGGUAGAGACUCCACCAAACUUGUACUGAGCAGCGAAAUGGGCAUUUUGUAGUUCAUUCUGCUGCGACAUUUGUCUUGGUAAGGCCAUAGCAGCUUCUCUUGACGGACAAAAUGACGCACCUCCAAG
RNAcentral lists this unclassified non-coding RNA (549 nucleotides) under Hevea brasiliensis (rubber tree). The record is from RNAcentral. Lineage: Eukaryota; Viridiplantae; Streptophyta; Magnoliopsida; Malpighiales; Euphorbiaceae.